This is a non-coding RNA of Schistosoma haematobium, 45 nucleotides long. NCBI's taxonomy places the organism in Eukaryota, Metazoa, Platyhelminthes, Trematoda, Strigeidida, Schistosomatidae. The record is from Rfam.
AUCCAGCUAACGAGUCCCAAAUAGGACGAAAAGCGCGUCCUGGAU